Molecule: ribosomal RNA, 253 nt
Filed under: uncultured bacterium
Lineage: Bacteria
Description: partial 16S ribosomal RNA
Rfam family: Bacterial small subunit ribosomal RNA
Source: RNAcentral
UACGUAGGGUGCGAGCGUUGUCCGGAAUUAUUGGGCGUAAAGAGCGUGUAGGCGGCUUGGCAAGUCCGCUGUGAAAACUCGAGGCUUAACCUCGAGACGUCGGUGGAAACUGCCUGGCUAGAGUCCGGAAGAGGAGUGUGGAAUUCCGGGUGUAGCGGUGGAAUGCGCAGAUAUCAGGAAGAACACCGGUGGCGAAGGCGGCAUCCUGGACCGGCAUUGACGCUGAGGCGCGAAAGCUAGGGGAGCAAACGGG